RNAcentral lists this ribosomal RNA (490 nucleotides) under uncultured bacterium. Its description in RNAcentral is "partial 16S ribosomal RNA". It matches the Rfam family "Bacterial small subunit ribosomal RNA", at positions 28 to 507 of the family's 1533-position model. The record is from RNAcentral.
GAUGAACGCUAGCGAUAGGCUUAACACAUGCAAGUCGAGGGGCAGCAUGGUCUUAGCUUGCUAAGGCUGAUGGCGACCGGCGCACGGGUGCGUAACGCGUAUGCAACUUGCCUCACAGAGGGGGAUAACCCGUCGAAAGACGGACUAAUACCGCGUACACUCUAUGUUGGGCAUCCAAUGUAGAGGAAAUGAAAUUCGCUGUGAGAUAGGCAUGCGUCCCAUUAGCUAGUUGGUGAGGUAACGGCUCACCAAGGCGACGAUGGGUAGGGGAACUGAGAGGUUGAACCCCCACACUGGUACUGAGACACGGACCAGACUCCUACGGGAGGCAGCAGUGAGGAAUAUUGGUCAAUGGGCGAGAGCCUGAACCAGCCAAGUCGCGUGAAGGAUGACUGUCUUAUGGAUUGUAAACUUCUUUUAUACGGGAAUAACAAGAGUCACGUGUGGCUCCCUGCAUGUACCGUAUGAAUAGGCAUCGGCUAACUCCGUG